AAGUUUCCCAAAGCCCCAUUCAGCUUGGACUUAAAUAUCUCCAAGAAUAGGGCUUCCACAGCUUCUCUGGACAGCUUUUUUCAAUGUCUCACCCUCUGCAUAAAGAUUUUCCUCCUUACAUAUAAUAUACAGCACCUUCCAUCCCCUCAGUCCCCAGAUGAGAGUGAAGGCUGGAUCAUGGCUGGUGACACGGCCAUGGGAGCUUUAGCACACACCCUGCAGUGCUCUCGUGGGGCUCUCUAGGGCCAGAUGGACACAACUCUAUUCCCACAAAGCAGCAUACAAGUACCUGCACCUCUCCUGCCAAAUGCCAUUUCCUGGGGUCCUCACCAUUUCAGUGCACUUGAGACUGCUUCAGUCCAGGUGACCAGUGUUGGACUUUUCCCUACACCUCCUCAUCCUACUUGGAAAAUAGCCUUGCAACUGGGGGCUGUGCAUCAGUGCUUCCUGAGGAUCAUCACCUGUCCCUGAAAAGUCAUCCCAGGGGCACCAUGCAGCCUUUGCAUCUCCUCAAGGAACAGUCAUGCUCAAACUCUGUGAUAGUAAAAGAGGAAUUCAGGUGGCCCAGCCCAAGGCACACUAUGCUUUCUCCUCCCAAAGGAAGACCCAAUGUCUUCUUCAUACCUUGCUCAUAUGCUGCAAGAGAUCCUUCUGCCAGCUCACAGUAUUACAGCAGGUUAGUUGAAUCCCAGGAGAGGGAGUCAUUAGAUUGCUGCUGUUUCAACUCAAUCUCACAUCCACUACAUUUUUUCUUUUUAUUUUAACCACUCAAUGCACUGCUGGGAGAAUGAGAUCUCUUUACAAGCCUCGUGUGCUAUCUGCUAUCUUUUCAUGCAGACAACCAUCUUUCAG
RNAcentral lists this long non-coding RNA (852 nucleotides) under Coturnix japonica (Japanese quail). RNAcentral's name for it is "lncRNA (ENSCJPG00005013392.1)". Lineage: Eukaryota; Metazoa; Chordata; Aves; Galliformes; Phasianidae. The record is from RNAcentral.